GGGUUGGAAGAGACCUUUAGAACAGCUGGUUGUUAUGCCAACCGGGUGUCUGCACUAAGUUCGGCAUCAAUAUGAUGACCUCCUGGGAGCAGGGGGCCACCAGGUUGCCUAAGGAUGAGUGAACUGGCCCAGAUCAGAAAGGGAGCAGGUCAGAACUCCCGCACCAACCGGUAGUGUGACUGUGCCUGGGCAAUAUAGAAUAU
Molecule: small RNA, 203 nt
Filed under: Chlorocebus sabaeus (green monkey)
Lineage: Eukaryota; Metazoa; Chordata; Mammalia; Primates; Cercopithecidae
Description: Metazoan signal recognition particle RNA (ENSCSAG00000019861.1)
Rfam family: Metazoan signal recognition particle RNA (bases 36-192)
About the family: The signal recognition particle (SRP) is a universally conserved ribonucleoprotein.
Source: RNAcentral